GCUCUCAAAAACGUAAAGGGUCUAAGACCCUCCAGGACUCUGGACAACUACCCCCCUGUGCAAUAUGUGUAUUCCUUAGCAAAGGGAAACUUUUUAGCCCACAGAAAACAUCACUUUUUAUUAAUUUUCCUGUUUUAUUGCUUCCUUUCAGGAUUAGCAAUCUCUCCCUGAUUAACUCUUCAAUUGGAGACUUUGAUGUUCAACAUCUAAUGGGCGCCAUCUCACCUGUGGUGACUUCCUUCCUAUUACCGCAUCAGAACCACUUGCUGGCUGCUGAAGGGUUCCCCUUACCGCUCCUGCAACAGCGCGGUUUGAGCAAUCUCCAUGCUGCUCCUCGCCAGGAUGUCCUUAUGCUCUUUGCUCCCCCUAAGGCUGCCUGAAUGUGGGAAUCGAUAUCCUGACCUGGUACAGGGCAAUGAUCCUGGAACAAGAUGGAAAAGGCUGCUUCUUCCCUCACCCCCGCCCGCCUUUAUUGUUUCAGUGCCUCUGCUUUGACUCUGGACCUUGCAAUAUUCAUUGUCUUUCAUUCUCUGUUUAAGGAGCUAAAAGCAGGAACAGCUUCUUUGCAAUCUAAUUUCCAGAGCUGGCUUUGUCUCCUGCCAUUGCAAAACAACGAAAGGUGAAAGCAAAAAGUGAACUCGUCGGGGUCUUUGGGGCCCAAAAGCCAGGAUUCAAGUCCUGCUCUUGGAAAACCUUGCCCUGAAUGGCUCUUCAGUUGAAAGCAGUGAAGUGCUGACACAGAGCAUUGCUUUGA
Rhineura floridana is the source of this 754-nucleotide long non-coding RNA. RefSeq lists it as uncharacterized. Lineage: Eukaryota; Metazoa; Chordata; Lepidosauria; Squamata; Rhineuridae. The transcript has 4 exons. The record is from RefSeq and is a predicted model, not a curated record.